This 748-nucleotide ribosomal RNA is filed under the name uncultured bacterium. RNAcentral's name for it is "bacterial SSU rRNA". It matches the Rfam family "Bacterial small subunit ribosomal RNA", at positions 61 to 850 of the family's 1533-position model. The record is from RNAcentral.
GUCGAACGGUCCUUUCGGGGAUAGUGGCGGACGGGUGAGUAACGCGUGAGAAUCUGCCUUUAGGACGGGGACAACAGUUGGAAACGGCUGCUAAAACCCGAUGUGCCCUUCGGGGUGAAAUAUUUAUAGCCUGAAGAUGAGCUCGCGUCUGAUUAGCUAGUAGGUGCGGUAACGGCGUACCUAGGCGACGAUCAGUAACUGGUCUGAGAGGAUGACCAGUCACACUGGGACUGAGACACGGCCCAGACUCCUACGGGAGGCAGCAGUGGGGAAUUUUCCGCAAUGGGCGAAAGCCUGACGGAGCAAUACCGCGUGAGGGAGGAAGGCUCUUGGGUCGUAAACCUCUUUUAUCAGGGAAGAACACAAUGACGGUACCUGAUGAAUCAGCAUCGGCUAACUCCGUGCCAGCAGCCGCGGUAAUACGGAGGAUGCAAGCGUUAUCCGGAAUUAUUGGGCGUAAAGCGUCCGCAGGUGGUUUUGAAAGUUUGCUGUCAAAGCGCGAGGCUCAACUUCGUAACGGCGGUGAAAACUUCAAGACUAGAGCUAGGUAGGGGUCACGGGAAUUCCCAGUGUAGCGGUGAAAUGCGUAGAUAUUGGGAAGAACACCAGCGGCGAAAGCGCGUGACUGGGCCUGAGCUGACACUCAUGGACGAAAGCUAGGGGAGCGAAAGGGAUUAGAUACCCCUGUAGUCCUAGCCGUAAACGAUGACAACUAGGUGUUGCCCGUAUCGACCCGGGCAGUGCCGUA